RNAcentral lists this ribosomal RNA (301 nucleotides) under uncultured bacterium. Its description in RNAcentral is "partial 16S ribosomal RNA". It matches the Rfam family "Bacterial small subunit ribosomal RNA", at positions 509 to 807 of the family's 1533-position model. The record is from RNAcentral.
CAGUCGCCGCGGUAAUACAGAGGGUGCGAGCGUUAAUCGGAUUUACUGGGCGUAAAGCGUGCGUAGGCGGCUUCUUAAGUCGGAUGUGAAAUCCCUGAGCUUAACUUAGGAAUUGCAUUCGAUACUGGGAAGCUAGAGUAUGGGAGAGGAUGGUAGAAUUCCAGGUGUAGCGGUGAAAUGCGUAGAGAUCUGGAGGAAUACCGAUGGCGAAGGCAGCCAUCUGGCCUAAUACUGAUGCUGAGGUACGAAAGCAUGGGGAGCAAACAGGAUUAGAUACCCGAGUAGUCCCUGUCUCUUAUAC